AAUUUAGAUUACCAAUGAUAAAGCCGGGGCUACGGCUAAAGAAAGGUAGGAUGCAUACGCAGAAACAUUAGUGCUAAUAUGCUGCAGAAAAGCCAAGAUAAAUCAGUCCAGCUCUCAUACAUCACUAAGGGAGAAGCUGAUUGCAACUUGACCAUGUGCCUGAGUAGUCCCAUCAGUGAGAAGAGGAGAACAUGGAUUUAAAAAAAACUAGAAUGUACCCCUAGGGCUCCUGCCGUGGUGGACCUGGGAGAAGUGUCUGGUAAAUAUCGACAGUAUAUGGCAGGACUUCUGGCUCCUCCUUAUGGUGUUAUGGAAACGGGCUCUAACAAUGACAGGAUUCCUGACAAGGAGAACACACCUCUCAUUGAACCUCACGUUCCUCUUCGUCCUGCUAACACCAUUACCAAGGUCCCUUCAGAGAAGAUCCUCAGAGCUGGAAAAAUUUUACGAAAUGCCAUUCUCUCUCGAGCACCUCACAUGAUAAGAGAUAGAAAAUACCACCUAAAGACAUACAGACAAUGCUGUGUGGGAACUGAGCUGGUGGACUGGAUGAUGCAGCAGACACCAUGUGUUCACUCCCGGACUCAAGCUG
RNAcentral lists this small RNA (592 nucleotides) under Pan troglodytes (chimpanzee). Its description in RNAcentral is "processed transcript". Lineage: Eukaryota; Metazoa; Chordata; Mammalia; Primates; Hominidae. The record is from RNAcentral.